AUACGUAGGGGGCGAGCGUUGUCCGGAAUUAUUGGGCGUAAAGGGUUCGCAGGCGGCCUUUUAAGUCAGAUGUGAAAUCCCACGGCUUAACCGUGGUAAGCAUUUGAAACUGGAAGGCUUGAGUUAAGGAGGGGAAAGUGGAAUUCCUAGUGUAGCGGUGAAAUGCGUAGAUAUUAGGAGGAAUACCAGUGGCGAAGGCGACUUUCUGGACUUAUACUGACGCUGAGGAACGAAAGCGUGGGGAGCAAACAGGAUUAGAUACCCUGGUAGUCCACGCCGUAAACGAUGAGUGCUAGGUGUUGGGGGUCAAACCUCGGUGCCGCAGCUAACGCAUUAAGCACUCCGCCUGGGGAGUACGUACGCAAGUAUGAA
Molecule: ribosomal RNA, 372 nt
Filed under: uncultured bacterium
Lineage: Bacteria
Description: bacterial SSU rRNA
Rfam family: Bacterial small subunit ribosomal RNA
Source: RNAcentral